This 31-nucleotide non-coding RNA is filed under the name Rattus norvegicus (Norway rat). The record is from RNAcentral. Lineage: Eukaryota; Metazoa; Chordata; Mammalia; Rodentia; Muridae.
GUCCUCCACAUAGGAAACCCAGUAAGUAGCA